This 422-nucleotide ribosomal RNA is filed under the name uncultured bacterium. RNAcentral describes it as "partial 16S ribosomal RNA". It matches the Rfam family "Bacterial small subunit ribosomal RNA", at positions 359 to 773 of the family's 1533-position model. The record is from RNAcentral.
GAAUUUUGGCCAAUGGGCGAAAGCCUGAUCCACCAAUGCCGCGUGCAGGAUGAAGGCCUUCGGGUUGUAAACUCCUUUUGUACGGAACGAAAAGCCUUGGGUUAAUACCCCGGAUUCAGGACGGUACCGUCCGAAUAACCACCGGCUCACUACGUCGCAGCCGCCGCGGUAAUACGCAGGGUGCGGGCGUUAGUCGGAAUUACUGGGCGUAAAGCGUGCGCAGGCGGUUUUGUAAGACAGAGGUGAAAUCCCCGGGCUCAACCUGGGAACUGCCUUUGUGACUGCAAGGCUAGAGUACGGCAGAGGGGGGUGGAAUUCCGCGUGUAGCGGUGAAAUGCGUAGAUAUGCGGAGGAACACCGAUGGCGAAGGCAACCCCCUGGGCCUGUACUGACGCUCAUGCACGAAAGCGUGGGGAGCAAAC